Molecule: long non-coding RNA, 207 nt
Organism: Corvus hawaiiensis (hawaiian crow)
Lineage: Eukaryota; Metazoa; Chordata; Aves; Passeriformes; Corvidae
Exons: 3
Source: RefSeq, a predicted model, not a curated record
UCCUGAACCAGGAAGCAGUGAAAAAGGGUCCUUCCGAGUCACCAUCCGAAUUCCUGGAUCAUCUGAGGGACACAAUGCUCCGCAAUACAUCGCUGGAUCCUGAGACCGAGAUCUAAAGGAUGCCUUCUUUUGCCUCCCUCUCCAUGAAGUCAGCCAGAAAAUUUUUGCAUUCGAAUGGGAAAGCCCUGAGAGUGGGUGCAAAACUCA